GCCGAGGUGGUGAAAUGGUAGACACACUAGCUUUAGGCGCUAGCGGGAGCAAUCCUAUGGAGGUUCAAGUCCUCUCCUCGGCA
This 83-nucleotide transfer RNA is filed under the name Candidatus Moraniibacteriota bacterium. Its description in RNAcentral is "tRNA-Leu". It matches the Rfam family "tRNA". From Rfam's summary of the family: Transfer RNA (tRNA) molecules are approximately 80 nucleotides in length. Their secondary structure includes four short double-helical elements and three loops (D, anti-codon, and T loops). Further hydrogen bonds mediate the characteristic L-shaped molecular structure. tRNAs have two regions of fundamental functional importance: the anti-codon, which is responsible for specific mRNA codon recognition, and the 3' end, to which the tRNAs corresponding amino acid is attached (by aminoacyl-tRNA synthetases). tRNAs cope with the degeneracy of the genetic code in two manners: having more than one tRNA (with a specific anti-codon) for a particular amino acid; and 'wobble' base-pairing, i.e. permitting non-standard base-pairing at the 3rd anti-codon position. Lineage: Bacteria; Candidatus Moraniibacteriota. The record is from RNAcentral.